Molecule: ribosomal RNA, 884 nt
Filed under: uncultured bacterium
Lineage: Bacteria
Description: bacterial SSU rRNA
Rfam family: Bacterial small subunit ribosomal RNA
Source: RNAcentral
GCCUCAGCGAUGGGGCAGUGGCGAACGGUCGCGUAACACGUAAGCAACCUGCCCUGAAGUGGGGGACAACAGGCCGAAAGGCCUGCUAAUACCGCAUGUGGCCUCGGGAUCGCCUGUUCCCGUGUCUAAAGCCUUGUGCGCUUCAGGAUGGGCUUGCGGCCUAUCAGGUAGUUGGUGGGGUAACGGCCUACCAAGCCGACGACGGGUAGCUGGUCUGAGAGGAUGGUCAGCCGGAUUGGGACUGAGAUACGGCCCAGACUCCUACGGGGGGCAGCAAUUAGGAAUCUUGCGCAAUGGGGGCAACCCUGACGCAGCGACGCCGCGUGCGGGAUGAGGGCAUUCGUGUCGUAAACCGCUUUUCUGGGGGAAGAAGCUCUGACGGUACCCCAGGAAUAAGCCCCGGCUAACUACGUGCCAGCAGCCGCGGUAAUACGUAGGGGGCGAGCGUUGUCCGAAGUUACUGGGCGUAAAGCGCGCGUAGGCGGUCUCUUAAGUCUGGGGUGAAAGGUUCAGCGCUCACCGUGAACAGUGCCUUGGAUACUGGGAGACUUGAGUCUGGGAGGGGGAAGUGGAAUUCCUGGUGUAGCGGUGAAAUGCGUAGAUAUCAGGAGGAACACCGGUGGCGAAGGCGGCUUCCUGGCCUAAGACUGACGCUGAUGUGCGAAAGCGUGGGGAGCGAACGGGAUUAGAUACCCCGGUAGUCCACGCCGUAAACGAUGAGUGCUAGGUGUCGGGGGUAUCGACCCCCCCGGUGCCGUCGCUAACGCAUUAAGCACUCCGCCUGGGGAGUACGGCCGCAAGGUUGAAACUCAAAGGAAUUGACGGGGGCCCGCACAAGCGGUGGAGCAUGUGGAUUAAUUCGUCACUAACCGAAGAACCUUACC